RNAcentral lists this non-coding RNA (139 nucleotides) under Pteridomonas danica. The record is from RNAcentral. Lineage: Eukaryota; Dictyochophyceae; Pedinellales.
ACCAUCAUUGUUUCAUUAUAGGGUUCACAGUCACUGUUUCAUGACCACUACAUCCCUUUCAUCAUUAUCAUCAUUCUAAAUUUUAACUAUCUUAUCAUAUUUACCAUCUAAUAUAUCUCUUACAGUUUGAGUUACUACC